Molecule: long non-coding RNA, 915 nt
Filed under: Cricetulus griseus (Chinese hamster)
Lineage: Eukaryota; Metazoa; Chordata; Mammalia; Rodentia; Cricetidae
Description: lncRNA (ENSCGRG00015024131.2)
Source: RNAcentral
UCUCUGAUUUAGGUCUUGCCUCUUGAUUCCUGCCUUGAGUUCCUGCUCUGACUUAGCACAGUGUUGAACUGUGAUAUGGGACUUGUAAAGUGAAGCAGACUUUUUAUCCACAAGUUAAUUUUGAAAUCUUGCCACGUGGCCACAGGAAUGGUUUGAGGCAUGAUCUGCAGUCGGAAAAAACAUGCUGAGUUACCAACUUGCCUGAUCAGCUGCGGAUCAUGGUGCCUACGGACAGCACAUGAUUUUGUAAUGAUAGACCAUGUUAGCAAGAAGUUUGGAGGCCCCUGCAACAGAGAUGCAUUCCUUAUUUAGAAGCUCAUAGAUUCUGCAUUAUUGAGGCAACAACCCACUCCCAGAAGCUGCAAUCUGCUGCACCCCCAGCCAUGGUUCCCUGAAGAAAAGAAUAGGCCCGCCAAGAGAUAACAACCAAACAUAUGAAACCAGAUAAAACAAGACAAGGUAAAAACCCCUCAUAUCAAGGCUGGACAAGGCAAAUUGAUAGGAGGAAAAGAGUCCCAAGAGCAAGCAAAAGAAUCAGAGAAAUUAGUUGGGCAUUGGUGGUGCAUGCCUUUAAUCCCAGCACUCAGGAGACAGAGGCAGGCUGAUCUCUGUGAGUUCAAGACCAGCCUGGUGGUCUACAAGAGCCAGUUGUAGGACAGCCUCCAAAGUCACACAGAAACCCUGUCUCAAAAACCCAGAAAAAAAAAAAAAGAAUCAGAGACAUACCUGCUCUCAUCUUUAGGAGUCUCAUUAGAAACACCACAAUAUUGGAAUGAAAAAAAUAAAUUAUUAAAAAAAGAAAAAACCCACCAAGCUCACAGGCUUGUAGCAUGUUGAUUCCAUUCUUGUAUAACACCUCUACUUUUGCAGUUCUUGUCAUACUAUCAAUAGUCUCUCAUCUGGUGUUUUUAUGUC